RNA transcript from Symphalangus syndactylus (siamang), 1353 nucleotides. It is a transcript of the gene named immunoglobulin-binding protein 1-like, with no coding region annotated. NCBI's taxonomy places the organism in Eukaryota, Metazoa, Chordata, Mammalia, Primates, Hylobatidae. The record is from RefSeq and is a predicted model, not a curated record.
UUGGAAUGAGCAAGUGAGAGCACGAGAGAGUGAGAGGAAGAUGAAAGUCACAGUCUUUUGUAACCUAAUCUCAGAUGUGACAUUCUGUCACUUUGCCAUAUUCUAUUCUUUUGAAACAGGUCAUUAGGUCCAGCCCAAGCACAAGAGGAGGAAAUUACACAAGAUGUGAAAACCAGAAGAUGGCUGCUGAAGACGAGUUACUGCUGCCACAGCUCCCCAAGCUGUUCGGAACCAGCAAACAGCUUCUGGAUGAUGUAGAAGUAGCGACUGAACCUGCCGGUUCCCGGAUAGUCCAGGAGAAGGUGUUCAAGGGCCUGGACCUCCUUGAGAAGGCUGCUGAAAUGUUAUUGCAGCUCGAUUUGUUCAGCUAAAAUGAAGAUUUGGAAGUGAUUGCUUUCACCGACCUGAAGUAACUGUUGGUGCCAGUGUUUCAAGGAGCCUUCACCAUGAAACAAGUCAAGCCCAGCAAGCGUCUAGAUCAUUUGCAGUGGGCUCAAGAGCACUAUAAACUACUUAACUGUGCCAUUGCUAUCAUGUGGCAGAGCUUGAGCUGCCCAAAACCAAGAACUCAGCUGAAAAUCACACUGCUAAUUCCUCCAUGGCUUAUCCUAGCCUCAUUGCUAUGGCAUCUCAAAGACAGGCUAAAAGAGAGAGACACAAGCAGAAGAAGGAUUUGGAGCAUAGGUUGUCUGCAAUGAAAUCUGCUGUGGAAAGUGGUCAAGCAGAUGAUGAGUGUGCUUGUGAAUAUUAUCUUCUUCACCUUCAGAGGUGAACUGAUAUCAGCUUAGAAGAGAUUGAGAGCAUUGACCAGGAAAUAAAGAUCCUGAGAGAAAGAGACUCUUCAAGAGAGGCAUCAACUUCUAACUCAUCUCGCCAGGAGAGGCCUCCAGUGAAACCCUUCAUUCUCACUCAGAACACAGCCCAAGCCAAAGUAUUUGGAGCUGGUUAUCCAAGUCUGGCAACUAUGAUGGUGAGUGACUGGUAUGAGCAACAUCGGAAAUAUGGAGCAUUACCAGAUCAGGGAAUAGCCAAGGCAACACCAGAGGAAUUCAGAAAAGCAGCUCAGCAACAGGAAGGUCAAGAAGAAAAGGAGGAAGAGGAUGAUGAACAAACACUCUACAGAGCUCGGGAGUGGGAUGACUGGAAGGGCACCCAUCCUAGGGACUAUGGUAGCAAACAGAGCAUGGGCUGAUCUUCCCACAACAUGAGAGGACUGAAGGGUGCACACCUCCCACGCCAAGGAAAACCAUGCAGUCCUCACCUCCCUGGGCUUCCGCUUCAGCUGUGUACAAUGAAGGCAAAGAUGCUAAAUCUUGCUUUGCAUUCAAUAAAGUGUCCAGUGAUUAAAAAAAA